AUGGCUCCACCCCGCGCCGGCGCCGGCGCCGUGCUGCUCGUGGUGGUGGCGCUCCUCUUCGUCGACGCAGCAGCGGCCGCCGGCGGCGGCAUGAAGAUGGCGACACACGGCGAGGGCGCGAAUCUCAAGGCAUCUCCCGGCGCGUCCGCGCCGCCUGCGGCGGGCGGCUCGGCGGAGCAGUUCCGGGGCAAGGCGCGGCUGCCGAGCUUCGCCGCGCCGCGCCGCUACGAGCUCUUCCUCCGCCCCGACCUCGUCGCCUGCACCUUCUCCGGCUCGGUGGCCAUCUCCGUCGCCGUCUCCGCGCCCACCCGCUUCCUCGUGCUCAACGCGCUCGACCUCUCCGUCAACCGCGCCUCCAUCCGCUUCCAGGCUUUGGCGCCCACGGAGGUGGUGUUCUUCAAGGAUGACGGCGUGUUGGUGCUCGGGUUCGCCAAGCAGCUGCCCCUCGGCGAGGGCGUGCUCAAGAUGGACUUCACCGGCAUUCUCAACGACCAGAUGAGAGGCUUCUACAGGAGCAAGUACCAGUAUAAGGGGAAAGAGAGAAACAUGGCGGUGACACAGUUUGAGUCCGUGGAUGCGCGGCGGUGCUUCCCCUGCUGGGAUGAGCCUGCAUUCAAGGCUAAGUUCAAGCUAACACUUGAAGUUCCAUCUGAGCUGGUAGCACUGUCCAACAUGCCAGUAGCUAACGCGACAUUUGCUGGUCCUAUCAAAACUGUGCAUUACCAGGAAUCGCCACCUAUGUCAACUUAUUUAGUGGCCAUAGUUGUCGGUUUGUUUGAAUAUGUAGAGGGUAUGACAACAAAAGGCACGAGAGUUCGUGUGUACACUCAAAUUGGUAAGAGUAACCAAGGGAAGUUUGCACUAGAUGUUGGAGUGAAGUCGUUGAAUCUCUAUAAAGAUUACUUUGACACUCCUUUUCCACUCCCCAAGUUGGAUAUGGUUGCUAUCCCCGAUUUUGCUGCUGGAGCCAUGGAGAACUACGGAUUGGUCACUUACCGGGAAGUAGCUUUGCUUUUCGAUGACAAGUCUUCAUCAGCAUCCAGCAAACAGAGUGUUGCAAUUACUGUGGCACAUGAAUUGGCUCAUCAAUGGUUUGGCAAUCUUGUAACCAUGGAAUGGUGGACUCACUUGUGGUUAAAUGAGGGAUUUGCUACAUGGAUGAGCCAUCUAGCAGUAGAUUCUUUUUUUCCACAAUGGAAUAUAUGGGCACAGUUUCUUGAUCGCACAACCACUGCUCUCAGGCUGGAUUCACUCGAGGCGUCUCAUCCUAUUGAGGUUGAAAUACACCAUGCCAGUGAAGUUGAUCAGAUUUUUGAUGCUAUUAGCUAUGACAAGGGUGCUUCUGUUAUUCGCAUGCUACAAAGUUACCUUGGCGCAGAGCGUUUUCAGAAAGCAAUGGCUUCAUAUAUGAAGAAAUAUGCAUACUCAAAUGCUAAAACCGAGGACCUGUGGGCUGUUCUUGAAAAGGAAACUGGUGAACCUGUCAAGGAUUUGAUGACUACAUGGACGAAGCAAAAAGGUUAUCCUGUUAUUAAUGCGAAAAUUAAAGGGAAUGACAUAGAGAUUGAGCAGGCCCAGUUUUUGUUAGAUGGGUCCUCUGGCUCUGGCAUGUGGAUUGUCCCUCUAACUUCACGCUGUGGUGCAUAUGAUACAGAGAAAAAGUUGUUGUUGAAACUUAAACGUGAGAAGCUGGUCAUUGGUUCACAAUGUGGUGACCGAAAGAAGGGCGGAAACUUCUGGACUAAGUUGAAUAUAGAUGGAACUGGAUUUUACAGAGUUAAAUAUGACGAUGAGCUUGCAGCUGCACUUCAAAAUGCAUUGGAGACCAAGAAGCUCUCACUAAUGGAUAAAAUUGGCAUCGUGGAUGACUUGUAUGCGCUUUCUAUUGCCCGCCAACAAACAUUUGCGUCGUUGCUACAUUUACUGUACGGUUAUCGCGGGGAAGCUGAUUAUAGUGUUCUUUCACACAUAAACACUGUAACCACAAGUAUUGCUAAAAUAUCUGCUGAUGCUACUCCUGCCUUGGCUGGUGACAUCAAGCAACUUUUGAUCAAGAUUCUUUUGUCACCUGCAGAAAAGUUAGGCUGGGACCCCAAGAAGGGUGAGAGCCACCUGGAUGUAAUGCUUAGACCACUGCUGUUGACUGCACUUGUCCAACUUGGACAUGGUAAGACCAUUAAUGAAGGAGUUAGGCGCUUUAACAUCUUCACACGUGAUCGCGGCACUUCUCUUCUUCCUCCGGAUACUAGAAAGGCCGCAUACCUUGCUGUGAUGCAGAAUGUUAGUAGUUCAAACAGAUCCGGUUAUGAUGCUCUCCGAAAAAUCUACAAGGAGUCAGCUGAAGGGGAGGAAAGAUUACAAGUCUUAGGCAUAUUAUCUUCUUGCCGGGACAAGGGUAUCGUCCUUGAAUCACUGAAUUUAAUUUUCACUAGCGAGGUUCGCAAUCAAGAUGCAUAUAUUCUCCUUAGAGGUAUUCAACCAGAGGCACGUGAAAUUUCGUGGAACUGGUUGAAGGAAAACUGGGAGCUUAUCUCAAAGACAUUUGCCGGGAGCUUGAUUACGGAUUUUGUUGAAACCAUUGUUCCAUUGUUCACCUCCAACGAGAAGGCGGCAGAGAUCUCCAAGUUCUUUGCAACGCGCACAAAGCCCGGAUUCGAGAGGACGCUGAAGCAGAGCCUUGAAAACGUGCGGAUCAGUGCGAGAUGGGCCGAGGGCAUCAGGAGUGAGCCCGGGCUUGCACAGACGGUGCGUGAGCUCCUGGCCAAGCCCUGA
This 2772-nucleotide ribosomal RNA is filed under the name Triticum aestivum (bread wheat). RNAcentral describes it as "partial small subunit ribosomal RNA". The record is from RNAcentral. Lineage: Eukaryota; Viridiplantae; Streptophyta; Magnoliopsida; Poales; Poaceae.